GCUUAUAACUUCCCUUCUCAUCUUUGUUGCGCCAUUCAUACUUAGAUCUAUGAUGCAUCUAGAAAUAAUUUAUGUAUAUAGUGUGGGAGUCAAGAGUCAAUCUUUAAAAUUUCAGUGAAGGUCUGCUGAUAGCAAACUCCAUUUUGGUUCAUAAAUAUCUUUAUCUCAUUUUAAAAAUAUUUUUUGAAGAGUAUAGAAUUCUAGGUUGGGAAUUUUUUUUUAGCACAUUGAUGUUAUUCUGCUGUCUUCUGGCUUCAGUUAUUUCCCUCAUAAGUAAGUUAUCAGCUUAAGGUUGAUACUCCUUUGAAAGUAAUCAACUUUUUUUUCCUGGCUGCCUUCAGGAUCUCCUCUUUAUCUCUGUUCUGUAUCACUAUGAUAUGUGUGUUUGUAGGGUUUUGGGGGUUUUUUUGUUUUUGUUUUUUUUUUCUGAUCCUGCUUGAGAUUCUUUGGGCCCCUUGGAUUAUUAUUGUCUUUUAUCAGUUCUGAAAGAUAUUCAGCUAUUAUAUUUCAUUGUCUUUACCUCAUUCUUUCAAAAGCUCCAAUAACAUGUUAGACCUAUUGUUAUAUUCUCCGUGCCCUUUAUGUCUUUUGUUUCAUAUUUUCCAAUCUUACACUCUCGUAAUUUCUUCAGAAUUGUGACCAACAAAUUUGGAGAAGAGCCUCUAUUCGUUCUUUAAGAAAUGAAAAUGAAUUUUUUAAAUCCCAUGUUUUUUAUAUACUUGACAACACUGUUUCCUCAACAUUGUUGCUUAAGAUCCAUACGUAAGAGUUUGGGGUAUGUUAAGAUAGAUAUUUAGGGGAGAGGGGUUGGUAGCCCUUCACCUUCCUCACAUUAUCAUGACUUCCUUUCUGGGAAUAAAAACAAAUCGUGUUGGUAUGAUCUAAGGUCACUAGCCUGUAUGUGGGUAAUAGGUUUUUCAUUUAGAAAGUAGUUCAGAAUCCCCAAUUUGUGGGAUUUUUCCUCAUAUAUGUAUAUACUGAUUAAAUUUAACACAAGUUACUUUUCAGUAAUGUUAGAAUAUAUUAACCAGAACAUCAGUUGUCUCUUUGAGAAGGUCACUUAUAAUUCUUGUGUCACUUUUCCCAGGAGAUUCUGCUCUGUGGGAGAAGUGGGGUUCAGUUUCAUCAGGGGUGCCACUGCAGGUACCCAGCUAACACUGACUGCUUCUAAUGAACCAGGCACUGCACUUUCUGCCGUGUAACAUUACAACAACCCCAUGAGACAGUAUUGUAAUUUCAUCUCAAUCUUAAGAAAAUGGAAGCUUUAAAAGACAAACAACUUUUCCAAGUAUGCCCUGCUGAGAACUGGAAACUAGGAUUCGAAUCCUAAUAGUUUAACUUUUGAUUCCUUGCUCUUAUGCUUAUCCUGUCUUGCCUCCCUGGAGAACAGGACAUUAUUUUUAUAUAUAGGUGUAAUGGGUAUAUAUUUCGCAAAUAAUCUUUGUUUUGUCACAGAAGUCUCUAUGGCCUUAGGAGAGAUCCUUAGCUUAUUUCCUGUCACAUGAUGCUGUAACAUAGAUUUGUUCUUGAAAUGUGUGUGUGAAGUGAAAGGCAGCAUUCAGUCAUCAUAUGGUGGUGGUAGGAGCUGCACACCUUGCUGAUCGCUGGCCACACAGCUACACAAGUGUUCCCUACUCAGAAAGCCAAGACUGGUGGGCAAGACGGAUGCCAAUGGUAUAAGGUGAGAAAACAGAUGGGGCCCGGAGGAGCACAGAGCACCACUCACCCUACAGAGAAGCUGUAAGGGGACUCUGGAAGAAUGUGUGCGAGCACAGGACCGUAGUACAUUAAGGACGUGCACUAGUGACGUGGAGGUUUGAUGUGUGCAAAGCAGAGUGCACUGGGGGAAGUGGGCUGUACCUGGGAAAGGUAGGCUGUGAGGAUCAGCAGAGGAGCUUCCCAAACACUCUGGACUCCCCAACCCCUUUUUCCCCUUUAGCGAGCCUGCAGAGGGACUGUGAGAUCGGUUUGACCAAGUGCCCAGUGCUGCUAAUGCUGCUGUCAAAGAGCCACACCUUGAGAAGCGUGCCCUAGGGGGACUACUCUGUGGGUGCAGGAGCACCACAGCUAGCCAAGAGAGCUCGCCAUGCACUUCCAGCUCAAGCUCCACGGCCAAGACACACACUGAAGGAUGUGCUGCCCCUUCUUCAGCUGAGGGCUGAGGGCGACGUCCAUAUCGGAUUGGGGAGCCACCCCUUCCUGAGGCCUCACCUCCACAUCUCCAGGCUCUCCUAGGAGCUUUGGGAAUUAGCAACUAACUGACCCAUCCUCACUUGGGCAUCUCGGCUGCAGGCUCCUGGGAAGCCAGGCAUACGGAGAGAAACAAGGGUGAGUAGUUCUGAAUCUGCUUGUGCAGAAUGAAAGCCCUGCUGUGAGGGAGAGAGAGUCAGAGCAGAUGGCCCACCUCUGGCUUUUGAGGGAUCAGGACUUGCCCUCCCACAGCCAGAAAGACAGAAAAUGGAGUGUACUCAAGUUUGGGUAUGGAAAAUACCUCCAAAUUCUGGGCAGUUUUCUGUGAGUGGGCUCCAGCAGUCUGGUCUGGCUAAUAUUCUGUUUCAGAUUCCCUUAGGGGAGCCCCCCACCCAGAGGGAAGGAGGAGGCAGUCUGCUAGAAUACCGCUUUGUAAGUUGCUUCUUUUCAUUUUGUACUGGAGUUUCAGGAACUGCUUUAAAUGUCCCUAUCCUCAAGUCUACUUUGUACCCUCUUCAUUACAGCUCAGUGUACCUUUCCGUUAUAGCCUGGGAAACAGACAAUUCCACCACACCCUCCCCCCUUACAUUUAUUUUAGAUUUUCUCUUUUCCUAAAAUGUAGUUGAAGAACAAUUUGCCAGACAUAUUCCAAUGGAAAUAUGCUGCCAGGUAUCCCCCUGCCCCUCCCCGACCCCCUAAAUCCCUGAUAAAGGAAAAUGAAAAUGUAAACUUUGGAAAGCCUGUACUCAGGGUUUGCUUCUAGAAGUAUGCAAAUGAGGCCCCUUGGCCAGCCAAGCCCUUCUUGCUAGAACCUCUCUGGCCUAGGUUUUGAGGGCAGGUACUUUGUGGCCCAGGGCAGAGCUUUCCUGGCAUUUCCCUGGCACUGGCUGGCUGAGGGCUAAAAGAAUAGAGUGGGAGACCGGCCCUCCAGUACUCUCUAAGGCACUAACCCCGACAUCAGAGACACUGGCUGGAAGGGCGUCCAAGCAGGCAGGGCUCACAUUGGUUUUGGUUGGGUUUUUUUUUUUUUUUUUUUUAAAUAUUUUUUCGUAAGAUGUUAAUAAAAGUAGAAAAUAAAAAUCUACAUUUCAUUAGAAUAAGAUGUUAUCAUGGAUGCCAUCUCCCAUGAUACUCUUUCCCCACCCUCCCCGAAGCAGGGCCCUGCCCUGUUAUUUAAAAUAAACAAACAAAAAAACUUUUGUAAGUGCCAAAGGUUGAUGCAUGAAAUAAUUACUUUUUUUUUUUUUUUUCAUAAAAGUUAUAUACAAAAUGGACCCCAACCAGUGAGGCCUCCUCAUCUCAACCCUUAUCAAUCAAGAUUAAAACUCAGUGCAUGUGUGUGCUUCGUCCCGCGUCUGCAGGCUGCAUCCGUGCCUUCAGGCUCUGUUAAGGAGAGUCGUCCUAAAGGACCUUCACUUUCAAAGGAGGCGAUGAAGAGAGCUGAGAGAAGAAGCCCCUCAGAACCCACGUCCACAUGCAGUCAGUCUGCCUACCACACCAGUUGUCCCUUCCUUUCUAGAGAUAAUGAAAUAGUGGGAAGAACUCAACUGAGGAAAUCCUAAGAGUCCCAAGUGCAGCCAAGGUGUCACCACCUCCAGGAAGCCUCCCUGGGUUAAUCCCUAGACUGCUGACUGCAGGACUGAUCAUUUGCUUUCGUGCUCUCCUGCCUAGCCAGAACCCAGCCCAUUAACCAUUUGUGGGAUAGAAUGACAAUGGUGGGCUCCCCAGCAAUCCUUAUCAAAAUAACACCAGCAUUCUUCACAGAGCUAGAACAAACAAUCCUAAAAUUUGUAUGGAACCAGAAAAGACCCCAAAUAGCCAAAGCAAUCUUGAAAAAGAGAACCAAAGCUGGAGGCAUCACAAUUCCAGACUUCAAGCUGUAUUGCAAAGCUGUCAUCAUCAAGACAGUAUGGUACUGGCACAAAAACAGACACUCAGAUCAAAGGAACGGAAUAGAAAGCCCAGAAAUGGACCCACAAACAUAUGGCCAACUAACCUUUGACAAAGCAGGAAAGAAUCUCCAAUGGCACAAAGACAGUCUCUUCAGCAAACGGUGCUGGGAAAACUGGACAGCGAUGCAGAAAAAUGAACCUGGACCACUUUCUUACACCAUACAUGAAAAUAAAUUCAAAAUGGAUGAAAGACCUAAAUGUAAGGCAGGAAGCCAUCAAAAUCCUAGAGGAGAAAGCAGGCAAAAACCUCUUUGACCUUGACUGAAGCAACUUCUUACUCGACACGUCUCCGGAGGCAAGGGAAACAAAAGCAAAAAUGAACUUCUGGGACCUCAUCAAGAUAAAAAGCUUCUUCACAGCAAAGGAAACAAUCAGCAAAACUAAAAGGCAACGAAUGGAAUGGAAGAAGAUAUUUGCAAACGACAUAUCAGAUAAAGGGUUAGUAUCCAAAAUCUAUAAAGAACUUACCAAACUCAACACCCAAAAAACAAAUAAUCCAGUGAAGAAGUCAGCAAAAGACAUGAAUAGACAUUUCUCCAAAGAAGACAUCCAGAUGGCCAACCGACACAUGAAAAAAUGCUCAACAUCACUCAUCAUCAAUCAAAACCACAAUGAGAUACCACCUCACACCAGUCAGAAUGGCUAACAUGAACAACUCAGGCAACAGCAGAUGUUGGUGAGGAUGUGGAGAAAGAGGAUCUCUUUUGCCCUGUUGGUGGGAAUGCAAACUGUUGCAGCCACCCUGGAAAACAGUAUGGAGGUUCCUCAAAAAACUAAAAAUAGAACUACCCUACAACCCAGCAAUUGCACUACUAGGCAUUUAUCCACAGGAUACAGGUGUGCUGUUUCGAAGGGACACAUGCACCCCCAUGUUUAUAGCAGCACUAUCGACAAUAGCCAAAGGAUGGAGAGAGUCCAAAUGUCCAUCGAUGGGCGAAUGGAUAAAGAAGAUGUGUGGUGUAUAUAUA
Molecule: long non-coding RNA, 5110 nt
Organism: Neofelis nebulosa (Clouded leopard)
Lineage: Eukaryota; Metazoa; Chordata; Mammalia; Carnivora; Felidae
Exons: 4
Source: RefSeq, a predicted model, not a curated record